Molecule: long non-coding RNA, 537 nt
Organism: Ailuropoda melanoleuca (giant panda)
Lineage: Eukaryota; Metazoa; Chordata; Mammalia; Carnivora; Ursidae
Exons: 3
Source: RefSeq, a predicted model, not a curated record
CCAACCUGAACAGUGCCCAGGCAGUGGAUCAGCUGCUGCUGGGAUUGGCCUCCCAGAUUUCAGAGCUGGAGGACAGGAUAGUGGUCGAAGAUCUGAGGGACUACUGGCCUGGCCCCAGUAAGUUCUCCCGCACAGACUACAUGGCCAGCAGUAUCCAACGUGGCUGAGAUAUGGGGCUGCCCAGCUAUAACCAAGCCCUGAUGGCUUUGGGGUUGGACGCCCCAAGGAACUGGAGUCACAUCAACCCCACUGUGGACCCUCAGGUGCUGGAGGCCACAGCUGCCCUGUACAACCAGGACCUGUCACGACUGGAGCAGCUCCCUGGGGGGCUCCUGGAGAGCCAUGGAGACCCUGGGCCCCUCUUUAGCACUAUUGUCCUCAACCAGUUUGUAAGGCUGCGGGACAGCGACCGCUACUGGUUUGAGAACACCAGGAAUGGGUAAGGCCUACCUGGGUCCUCAUCUAGAUUCCACCCUGGCCUGGGCCCCAGGCACUUUGCAUGUAAUGUUAGCAGCCCCAUGGGCCCUUGAUUCCCAG